This 526-nucleotide ribosomal RNA is filed under the name uncultured bacterium. RNAcentral's name for it is "bacterial SSU rRNA". It matches the Rfam family "Bacterial small subunit ribosomal RNA", at positions 355 to 896 of the family's 1533-position model. The record is from RNAcentral.
UAGGGAAUAUUGCACAAUGGGCGAAAGCCUGAUGCAGCAACGCCGCGUGAGCGAUGAAGGCCUUCGGGUCGUAAACCUCUUUUCUUGGUGAAGAGUAAGGACGGUAAUCAAGGAAUAAGCCCCGGCUAACUACGUGCCAGCAGCCGCGGUAAUACGUAGGGGGCGAGCGUUAUCCGGAUUCACUGGGCGUAAAGAGCGUGUAGGCGGCUUCCAAAGUUGGCAGUGAAAGGUCCUGGCUUAACUGGGAUAUGCCUGCCAAUACUGGGGAGCUAGAGGGCAGCAGAGGAAGGUGGAACUCGCGGUGUAGCGGUGAAAUGUGUAGAUAUCGCGAGGAACACCAGUGGCGAAGGCGGCUUUCUGGGCUGUUCCUGACGCUGAGACGCGAAAGCGUGGGGAGUGAAGCGGAUUAGAUACCCGCGUAAUCCACGCCUUAAACGGUGGAUACUAGGUAUGGGGGGUAUCGACCCUCUCCGUGCCGAAGCUAACGCCUUAAGUAUCCCGCCUGGGGACUACGGCCGCAAGGCUA